CGUCUGAUCAUCUGCUCUAAAUAAUAUCCUAAUCCUCCCUGAUAAAAGAAUUAUCUAUCACUCAAUCUGUUACAAAGAAAAAAACAAAUCUUGCUAAAUGCAUUUCUUUCAACAUUUUCCGAUGAUAAAGGUUUUAUCUUCUCGUGCUCUCUAUUGCAUGUCAUGUGAUGAUGAGUAGAUUAUUCUCAUAUCCACCACUCUGAACAAUAGGGCGUAGGGGAUCAAUUCUCCACUCANNNNNNNNNNNUCGUAUCUGCCUGGAUACAAUUUCAUGUACAAAGAAAAUACGCCUGUGCUCGACUUCUGCAUCUUUCUCUUGGUGGCCCAUCCAUCAAAUGAUCCAGC
RNAcentral lists this unclassified non-coding RNA (345 nucleotides) under Hevea brasiliensis (rubber tree). Lineage: Eukaryota; Viridiplantae; Streptophyta; Magnoliopsida; Malpighiales; Euphorbiaceae. The record is from RNAcentral.